RNAcentral lists this unclassified non-coding RNA (227 nucleotides) under Hevea brasiliensis (rubber tree). The record is from RNAcentral. Lineage: Eukaryota; Viridiplantae; Streptophyta; Magnoliopsida; Malpighiales; Euphorbiaceae.
AGAACUCAGAAUACUAUUGUUUAAGUUAGCCAUGUUAGUUUCUGCAUCAUCUAAAAUGUUAUUUUUUCCCUUUUGGUCCUCUAAAUUAGAAGAGUUGUCAUGUGAAACUUCUGAUGGCAAAGAUAUUGAAGCAUUAAAUGCAUCAUGGUGGACUUCUUCCACAACAGAAUGUGUCUCGUUGUGAACAGCCGAUGCUGUAGAGUCUGAAUGGUUGCCACUGUGAGUAG